RNAcentral lists this transfer RNA (89 nucleotides) under Macrococcus hajekii. RNAcentral describes it as "tRNA-Ser". It matches the Rfam family "tRNA". Rfam says of the family: Transfer RNA (tRNA) molecules are approximately 80 nucleotides in length. Their secondary structure includes four short double-helical elements and three loops (D, anti-codon, and T loops). Further hydrogen bonds mediate the characteristic L-shaped molecular structure. tRNAs have two regions of fundamental functional importance: the anti-codon, which is responsible for specific mRNA codon recognition, and the 3' end, to which the tRNAs corresponding amino acid is attached (by aminoacyl-tRNA synthetases). tRNAs cope with the degeneracy of the genetic code in two manners: having more than one tRNA (with a specific anti-codon) for a particular amino acid; and 'wobble' base-pairing, i.e. permitting non-standard base-pairing at the 3rd anti-codon position. The record is from RNAcentral. Lineage: Bacteria; Bacillati; Bacillota; Bacilli; Caryophanales; Staphylococcaceae.
GGAGAUGUACUCAAGUUGGCUGAAGAGGCGCCCCUGCUAAGGGUGUAGGUCGGGAAACUGGCGCGAGAGUUCGAAUCUCUCCAUCUCCG